Lolium perenne is the source of this 364-nucleotide long non-coding RNA. RefSeq lists it as uncharacterized. NCBI's taxonomy places the organism in Eukaryota, Viridiplantae, Streptophyta, Magnoliopsida, Poales, Poaceae. The record is from RefSeq and is a predicted model, not a curated record.
AUCGUCAAAAUCUGGAACUACACUGGCGUGGUGGAAGCAUUCCAUAAUGGCGAGGGCAAGUGCUAUACUGCAAAGGUCCGAACAGAGGAGGAACUGAAGAAGGCGAUUGAGGCAUCUCUAGGACCUAACAAGGAUUGCUUGUGCUUUAUAGAGGUAAUUGUACACAAGGAUGACACUAGUAAGGAGCUUCUUGAGUGGGGCUCUAGAGUUUCCGCAGCGAACAGCCGCCCACCAAAUCCUCAGUGAACAUAUCAGAUAUUCAGAUGAUUGAUCCUCAUCGAGCCUAAUGAGGUCAUGUAAUUCUCAAUAGGAUAUGCUACUGAUAUUUGAAUAAACCAUCUAUGUAAGAUCACUACUGUUGCAA